CAGAGCGUAGUUCAAAUUAGUAGAACGCCUCCCUUACACUGAGGCAGUAUUCGUGCAAGCCAAAUCGCUAUGA
This 73-nucleotide transfer RNA is filed under the name Taenianotus triacanthus. RNAcentral describes it as "tRNA-Val". It matches the Rfam family "tRNA". Rfam says of the family: Transfer RNA (tRNA) molecules are approximately 80 nucleotides in length. Their secondary structure includes four short double-helical elements and three loops (D, anti-codon, and T loops). Further hydrogen bonds mediate the characteristic L-shaped molecular structure. tRNAs have two regions of fundamental functional importance: the anti-codon, which is responsible for specific mRNA codon recognition, and the 3' end, to which the tRNAs corresponding amino acid is attached (by aminoacyl-tRNA synthetases). tRNAs cope with the degeneracy of the genetic code in two manners: having more than one tRNA (with a specific anti-codon) for a particular amino acid; and 'wobble' base-pairing, i.e. permitting non-standard base-pairing at the 3rd anti-codon position. Lineage: Eukaryota; Metazoa; Chordata; Actinopteri; Perciformes; Scorpaenidae. The record is from RNAcentral.